CCGUAGGGGCCUCUCUUUCUCCUUCUUUCCUGGUCUUCCCUCUCCUUUCUUUUUCCUUUCCCUUUUUCCUUUCCCUCUCCCUUCUUCCCUUUUCUCUUUCUUUCCAACCUUGGGGGCUUGAGGUUGGAAGAGGAGAGCGGAAUUCCCGGUGUAGUGGUGGAAUGCGUAGGUAUCGGGAGGAACACCAGUAGCGAAAGCGGCUCUCUGGUUCAAUACUGACACGGAGAUGCGAAAGAGUGGGGAGCGAAAGG
RNAcentral lists this ribosomal RNA (251 nucleotides) under uncultured prokaryote. Its description in RNAcentral is "partial 16S ribosomal RNA". It matches the Rfam family "Bacterial small subunit ribosomal RNA", at positions 582 to 775 of the family's 1533-position model. The record is from RNAcentral.